UCCCCGGGNUCAACCUGGGAACUGCGUUNUGAACUGGGUGACUAGAGUGUGUCAGAGGGAGGUAGAAUUCCACGUGUAGCAGUGAAAUGCGUAGAGAUGUGGAGGAAUACCGAUGGCGAAGGCAGCNUCCUGGGAUAACACUGACGUUCAUGCCCGAAAGCGUGGGUAGCAAACAGGAUUAGAUACCCUGGUAGUCCACGCCCUAAACGAUGUCGAGUAGCUGUUGGGCAGCAUGACUACUUAGUAGCGAAGCUAACGCGUGAAAUCGACCGCCUGGGGAGUACGGUCGCAAGAUUAAAACUCAAAGGAAUUGACGGGGACCCGCACAAGCGGUGGAUGAUGUGGAUUAAUUCGAUGCAACGCGAAGAACCUUACCUGGUCUUGACAUGUACGGAACCCUCCAGAGACGGAGGGGUGCCUUCGGGAGCCGUAACACAGGUGCUGCAUGGCUGUCGUCAGCUCGUGUCGUGGGAUGUUGGGUUAAGUCCCGCAACGAGCGCAACCCUUGUCAUUAGUUGCCAUCAUUAAGUUGGGCACUCUAAUGAGACUGCCGGUGACAAGCCGGAGGAAGGUGGGGAUGACGUCAAGUCCUCAUGGCCCUUAUGACCAGGGCUUCACACGUCAUACAAUGGUCGGUACAGAGGGUAGCCAAGCCGCGAGGUGGAGCCAAUCUCACAAAACCGAUCGUAGUCCGGAUUGCACUCUGCAACUCGAGNGCAUGAAGUCGGAAUCGCUAGUAAUCGCAGGUCAGCAUACUGCGGUGAAUACGUUCCCGGGUCUUGUACNCA
RNAcentral lists this ribosomal RNA (788 nucleotides) under uncultured bacterium. RNAcentral describes it as "bacterial SSU rRNA". It matches the Rfam family "Bacterial small subunit ribosomal RNA", at positions 600 to 1389 of the family's 1533-position model. The record is from RNAcentral.